This 1927-nucleotide ribosomal RNA is filed under the name human gut metagenome. Its description in RNAcentral is "bacterial LSU rRNA". It matches the Rfam family "Bacterial large subunit ribosomal RNA", at positions 3 to 1973 of the family's 2925-position model. The record is from RNAcentral.
UCAAGUGACUAAGUGCAUGUGGCGGAUGCCUUGGCGAUCACAGGCGAAGAAAGACGCGGCAGCCUGCGAAAAGCUGCGGGGAGCUGGCAAACGAGCUUUGAUCCGCAGAUAUCUGAAUGGGGGAACCCACACCGUAAGGUGUAUCCGUGACUGAAUACAUAGGUUACGGAGGCGAACGAGGAGAACUGAAACAUCUAAGUAUCCUCAGGAAAAGAAAUCAACCGAGAUUCCGGCAGUAGCGGCGAGCGAACCCGGAGGAGCCUAGCUUUUGAUAGUACGAACUUUAGCCGAAAGGUCCUGGAAAGGCCUGCUAUAGUGGGUGAUAGCCCCGUAGGCGAAAGAGUUCGUAUGGUACUAAGGAAGCGAGAAGUAGAGCGGGACACGUGGAAUCCUGUUCGAAGAUGGGGGGACCAUCCUCCAAGGCUAAAUACUCGUGAUCGACCGAUAGUGAACCAGUACCGUGAGGGAAAGGCGAAAAGAACCCCGGGAGGGGAGUGAAAUAGAACCUGAAACCGCAUGCAUACAAACAGUAGGAGCCUCGUCAGAGGUGACUGCGUACCUUUUGCAUAAUGGGUCAGCGACUUACAUUCUGUGGCGAGCUUAACCGAAUAGGGGAGGCGCAGCGAAAGCGAGUUCGAAAUGAGCGUCCAGUCGCAGGGUGUAGACCCGAAACCAGAUGAGCUAUCCAUGGCCAGGUUGAAGGUGUGGUAACACACACUGGAGGACCGAACCGACUAGUGUUGCAAAAUUAGCGGAUGAGCUGUGGAUAGGGGUGAAAGGCCAAACAAAUCUGGAGAUAGCUGGUUCUCCCCGAAAACUAUUGAGGUAGUGCCUCGUGUGUCGCUCCAGGGGGUAGAGCACUGUUUUGGCUAGGGGGACAUGGAGUCUUACCAAACCAAGGCAAACUCCGAAUACCUGGAAGCGUAAGCACGGGAGACAGAGCACCGGGUGCUAACGUCCGGACUCAAAAGGGAAACAACCCAGACCGCCGGCUAAGGUCCCCAAUAACAGCUAAGUGGAAAACGAAGUGGAAAGGCCGUGACAACCAGGAAGUUGGCUUAGAAGCAGCCAUCCUUCAAAGAAAGCGUAAUAGCUCACUGGUCGAGUCCUUCUGCGCGGAAGAUGUAACGGGGCUAAGCUGUUAACCGAAGCCGCGGAUGCACUGAUUAUUCAGUGCGUGGUAGGGGAGCGUUCUGUAAGUCUGCGAAGGCGGUUCGAGAGGACUGCUGGAGAUAUCAGAAGUGCGAAUGCUGACAUGAGUAACGUUAAAGCAGGUGAAAAGCCUGCUCGCCGUAAGCCCAAGGAUUCCUGCUCUACGUUCAUCGGAGCAGGGUGAGUCGGCUCCUAAGGUCAGGCCGAAAGGCGUAGCCGAUGGGAAUCAGGUUAAUAUUCCUGAACCUGCGUCAGAUGCGAUGGGGGGACGGAGCAUGAAAGAUCAUCCGGGUGUUGGAUGUCCCGGUUGACGAGCGUAGGAGGUCUGCAGGCAAAUCCGCAGACGCAUCUCCAAGGCGAAGACACGUGCCGCCACGGCGGCGAAGUGAUCGGAAGUGCUUCCAAGAAAAGCCUCUAAGCACCAGUCUGACGCGGACCGUACCGCAAACCGACACUGGUGGGCGAGCUGAAUAUGCUCAGGCGCUUGAGAGAACUCGGGAGAAGGAACUCGGCAAAUUGACACCGUAACUUCGGAAGAAGGUGUGCCGUAGUACCGUGAGAGGAGAGACACCUUGAGCGGGAAUCGGUCUCAGAGAAUAGGUGGCUGCGACUGUUUAUUAAAAACACAGCACUCUGCAAAGUCGAAAGACGACGUAUAGGGUGUGAUGCCUGCCCGGUGCUGGAAGAUUAAUUGAUGGGGUGAGAGCCCUUGAUCGAAGUCCCAGUAAACGGCGGCCGUAACUAUAACGGUCCUAAGGUAGCGAAAUUCCUUGUC